RNAcentral lists this transfer RNA (67 nucleotides) under Diploderma flaviceps. RNAcentral's name for it is "tRNA-Gly". The record is from RNAcentral. Lineage: Eukaryota; Metazoa; Chordata; Lepidosauria; Squamata; Agamidae.
ACAACCCUAGUACAACAAGUACAGGUAACUUCCAAUUAUCAAAUCUUAGUAAUUCUAAGGGGUAGUA